This 506-nucleotide ribosomal RNA is filed under the name uncultured bacterium. Its description in RNAcentral is "bacterial SSU rRNA". It matches the Rfam family "Bacterial small subunit ribosomal RNA", at positions 17 to 518 of the family's 1533-position model. The record is from RNAcentral.
UUAUGGCUCAGGAUGAACGCUAGCGGCAGGCUUAACACAUGCAAGUCGAGGGGCAUCGGGAGUAGCAAUACUUGCCGGCGACCGGCGCAAGGGUGCGUAACGCGUGAGCAACAUGCCCGUAUCAGGGGGAUAAUCCAUGGAAACGUGGUCUAAUACCCCAUAGUAAUUAUGUAAGGCAUCUUAUAUAAUUUAAAGCUUUGGUGGAUACGGAUUGGCUCGCGUGACAUUAGCUAGAUGGUAAGGUAACGGCUUACCAUGGCUACGAUGUCUAGGGGUUCUGAGAGGAAGGUCCCCCACACUGGAACUGAGACACGGUCCAGACUCCUACGGGAGGCAGCAGUGAGGAAUAUCGGACAAUGGAUGGAAAUCUGAUCCAGCCAUGCCGCGUGCAGGAAGACGGCCCUAUGGGUUGUAAACUGCUUUUGUAUGGGAGCAAUAAGGGCUACGCGUAGUCCGAUGAGAGUACCAUACGAAUAAGCACCGGCUAACUCCGUGCCAGCCGCGGC